CCUGGUCGAUCCUGCCAGUAGUCAUAUGCUUGUCUCAAAGAUUAAGCCAUGCAUGUCUAAGUAUAAAAGUAUUCUAUACUUGAAACUGCGAAUAGCUCAUUAAAUCAGUUAUAGUUUAUUUGAUGGUGCCUUACUACAUGGAUACCCGUAGUAAUUCUAGAGCUAAUACAUGCCAAAAAAACCCGACCUUCCGGAAGGGUUGUAUUUAUUAGAUAAAAAACCAAUCCUCGCAAGAGGAACUGUGUUGAUUCAUAAUAACUGUUCGAAUCGCAUGCCGCAAGGCGGCGAUAGAUCAUUCAAAUUUCUGCCCUAUCAGCUCUCGACGGUAGUGUAGUGGACUACCGUGGCAUUAACGGGUAACGGAGAAUUAGGGUUCGAUUCCGGAGAGCGAGCCUGAGAAACGGCUAGCACAUCCAAGGAAGGCAGCAGGCGCGCAAAUUACCCAAUCCUGACACACAGGUAGUGACAAAAAAUAACAAUACCGGGCUUUUAUAAGUCUGGUAAUUGGAAUGAGUACAAUUUAAAUCCCUUAACGAGGAACAAUUGGAGGGCAAGUCUGGUGCCAGCAGCCGCGGUAAUUCCAGCUCCAAUAGCGUAUAUUAAAGUUGUUGCAGUUAAAAAGCUCGUAGUUGGAUUUCUGGUAUGGUGCGCCUGGUCCACGGUUGCAAAACCGCGAGUAUCGGUGUGCGCCUGCCAUCUUUCUAGUUAACUGGACGCACUUAACUGGGCGGUCAGCGAUCUAGUUCUUUUACUUUGAAAAAAUUAGAGUGUUUAAAGCAGGCUUGCGCUAUGAAUACAUUAGCAUGGAAUAAUAAUUUAGGACUUUGCUUCUAUUUUAUUGGUUUCUAGGAGUUAAGUAAUGAUUGAUAGGGAUAGUUGGGGGUGCUAGUAUUCAUCGGCCAGAGGUGAAAUUCUUGGAUUCGAUGAAGACUAACUAAUGCGAAAGCAUUCACCAAGGAUGUCUUCUUUAAUCAAGAACGAAAGUUGGGGGAUCGAAGACGAUCAGAUACCGUCGUAGUCUCAACCAUAAACUAUACCGACUAGGGAUAAGGGGAAGUUGCUUUUUCGACUUCCUUUGCACCUUAUGAGAAAUCACAAGUCUUUGGGUUCUGGGGGGAGUAUGGUCGCAAGGCUGAAACUUAAAGGAAUUGACGGAAGGGCACCACCAGGAGUGGAGCCUGCGGCUUAAUUUGACCCAACACGGGGAAACUUACCAGGUCCGGACAUAGUGAGGAUUGACU
RNAcentral lists this ribosomal RNA (1241 nucleotides) under metagenome. RNAcentral's name for it is "SSU rRNA". It matches the Rfam family "Eukaryotic small subunit ribosomal RNA", at positions 3 to 1245 of the family's 1831-position model. The record is from RNAcentral.